UUUUCCAUCCACUGGAGGCCUCCUGCUGGAGAUGGAGUUUGCCCUUCUCCUCCUGGCUGAAAUAAGCUCAGAGGGUCCAGUGAGACAUUGCUUAGAGUGGAGCUGCCCCAUCUGUUGAUCCUUAAUGCUGUGCUAGCAUCACCUUGGUUUAGUACAUUGCACUUCAGACCUGAAGUUGUAUCUUUUGUCUCUGAGCAUGUAAAGCUGUUAUUAUUGAGCUGUCUGGUAGACAUGGGGCUUUCUCCAGCAGGAUUAUAGAUGAUGGUGAGUUUGGUGGCACUCAGGACAAGCCAGAUGAUCCCCAUGAUCUGCCCUUUCUGGUUCUCUCCACACUGUUGUCUCCAGGACUUUUCCAGCUCUAGGAUGGUGUCUGGUCCUGGAUGCAGGACAUUCCCACUCUGGACUGUCCUCAGUGGGAGUGGCAAAACUCUCCUGGUGCCAAGGUAACACAGAGGAAUGAGUAACAAUUCCAAAUUAUGGCUGCUAUUAAUUUGAGAGACGUGCAUGUUGAAAAAACAAAGAAGGGGGAAUACGGCUCCUCAAGAACAUUUAGAUAAUGCAAUACUUACACAAGAAUUUUUGAAAGCAGAUCAUCAAUUUUGAUCCCCGACAGAGCGAUACUGCUCUGAAGAUUUGCCGAUACAGAACCUGUGGAGGCCAGAAAUCUGGCCAAGCAAA
Melozone crissalis (California towhee) is the source of this 678-nucleotide long non-coding RNA. RefSeq lists it as uncharacterized. The transcript is spliced from 5 exons. The record is from RefSeq and is a predicted model, not a curated record. Lineage: Eukaryota; Metazoa; Chordata; Aves; Passeriformes; Passerellidae.